Molecule: ribosomal RNA, 505 nt
Filed under: uncultured bacterium
Lineage: Bacteria
Description: partial 16S ribosomal RNA
Rfam family: Bacterial small subunit ribosomal RNA
Source: RNAcentral
GACGAACGCUGGCGGCGUGCCUAAUACAUGCAAGUAGAACGCACAGUUUAUACCGUAGCUUGCUACACCAUAGACUGUGAGUUGCGAACGGGUGAGUAACGCGUAGGUAACCUGCCUGGUAGCGGGGGAUAACUAUUGGAAACGAUAGCUAAUACCGCAUAAUAUUGAUUAUUGCAUGAUAAUUAAUUGAAAGGUGCAAUUGCACCACUACCAGAUGGACCUGCGUUGUAUUAGCUAGUAGGUGAGGUAACGGCUCACCUAGGCGACGAUACAUAGCCGACCUGAGAGGGUGAUCGGCCACACUGGGACUGAGACACGGCCCAGACUCCUACAGGAGGCAGCAGUAGGGAAUCUUCGGCAAUGGGCGAAAGUCUGACCGAGCAACGCCGCGUGAGUGAAGAAGGUUUUCGGAUCGUAAAGCUCUGUUGUAAGAGAAGAACGGGUGUGAGAGUGGAAAGUUCACACUGUGACGGUAUCUUACCAGAAAGGGACGGCUAACUACGUG